Long non-coding RNA from Stegastes partitus (bicolor damselfish), 903 nucleotides. RefSeq lists it as uncharacterized. Lineage: Eukaryota; Metazoa; Chordata; Actinopteri; Pomacentridae. The transcript has 3 exons. The record is from RefSeq and is a predicted model, not a curated record.
AGAAAGCUCUCAUCUAUCUAUAAUAGCGGCUGUUGUAACGAGUCUUGUCGUACUCAUCUGCUGCCUUCUCUGUGUUUGGUGGUUUAAGACAAAAUAUCCAACUCGACAACAGACUCAGAAUCACACAGGUGGGGAGGUGGCUCUUCAAAUGCCAGCCAGUAAAUCAGAGGAAGACAUCCAGUACGCAGACGUCAAGUUCUGCAAUCCGAAAUCAAGCGUCUCGGUGCGGGACAGCGAACAGCAUCAGGAAACCAUGUACGCACGGAUCCAAGCGUCCGAACCACAGAGCAGCUCAGGUCCAACUGCUGGAGGCCUCGAAGAUCUCUACGCUCAAGUGAAGAAGAACUAAGUUCUGUUUUUGGGAUCAUAUGCUUGAAUUUGUUUUGCGAGGCAUUAGUUCGACAAGAGAUGCUUACCGACCUCAGCUGAAUAACAGGAAACUUCACACCUCCACGCCCUGCAGCUCACAGUUUGGUCACUUUUACUUCCGUUGCUGCGCUGCUGUGGUGUGACAAUGAACUCUGUAAAUAGUUCAAACGACACGAUUCUGCGCCUGCUUUUCCAGCAGAGAACAGAAGUGAACCCAAAGUAAAUCUAAUAAUUAGCUUUGUGAGAGUUAACAGUGUGUUUGUGAGAGUUUAAUUCAUUCACUCAAGUUGCAGCAAAAAUGAACGAGUCGCUGUUUCUGCUCAUGAAGAUGUUUAUUCAUUGCACUGUAAUAAAAACCUCGGCGUACAAUUUCUAAAAAAUACCUAAUAAUCUCAGUCGCAUUUAUUGGUCCAACAUUUCACAUAUUGUGUGUAAACAUCACCUGAAAUCAUACAGUUUAAUCACAAACAUUACAAAAGUGGCUUGAUGGAUGAUGCAUAGUAAUCCUUGGCCCCAAAUAUAAAUCUGUUUUGA